GGGGUUGGCGUUGUUCGGAUUUUGGGCGUAAAGCGCGCGCAGGUGGUUUCUUAAGUCUGAUGUGAAAGCCCACGGCUCAAACGUGGAGGGUCAUUGGAAACUGGGAGACUUGAGUGCAGAAGAGGAAAGUGGAAUUCCAUGUGUAGCGGUGAAAUGCGUAGAGAUAUGGAGGAACACCAGUGGCGAAGGCGACUUUCUGGUCUGUAACUGACACUGAGGCGCGAAAGCGUGGGGAGCAAACAGGAUUAGAUACCCUGGUAGUCCACGCCGUAAACGAUGAGUGCUAAGUGUUAGAGGGUUUCCGCCCUUUAGUGCUGAAGUUAACGCAUUAAGCACUCCGCCUGGGGAGUACGGCCGCAAGGCUGAAACUCAAAGGAAUUGACGGG
RNAcentral lists this ribosomal RNA (386 nucleotides) under Bacillus cereus. RNAcentral describes it as "bacterial SSU rRNA". It matches the Rfam family "Bacterial small subunit ribosomal RNA", at positions 531 to 917 of the family's 1533-position model. The record is from RNAcentral. Lineage: Bacteria; Bacillati; Bacillota; Bacilli; Caryophanales; Bacillaceae.